This is a long non-coding RNA of Cygnus olor (mute swan), 11746 nucleotides long. RefSeq lists it as uncharacterized. The transcript is spliced from 2 exons. NCBI's taxonomy places the organism in Eukaryota, Metazoa, Chordata, Aves, Anseriformes, Anatidae. The record is from RefSeq and is a predicted model, not a curated record.
GGGGAGGGACGGAGGGAGGGAUGGAAGGAUGGAGGUUGGGGGGGGGUUGCAGGGGGAGAGCAUCCUUAGCCGCGGGCCACCGGGAAGUUGGCCCCGCUCCGUGGAGCGCUGCUGCGGCACCCGGGGGGGGCUCCUGGCCAGCCCCUGCUCAGGGCGCGCACGGAGGUCCCCUGGGGGUCUCCCGCCCGCGCCGUGGGCUGCCCCCCUCCCGGCUCCCCCUCCCGCAGCAGGGACCCCCCCGGCCCGGCAGCCCCGUGCGCAGGAUGGGACCCGCUGAGACACGAGCAAGGCGCUGGGAGCCCGGCGGUGGCCGUACAGCUCCAGAAGAGUGCAUCAGUUGGAAUAAAAGCGUUAUCCUAAGUUCACUUUCCAGCCAAGCUGCUUGAAGGCAGCCCCCCGCAGACGCUGUUUAAGCAGGUUCCUGAGUGCUCUCCCCUCUUAGGCAGGCACAAAGAGGAGAGGCUCUGAAAGCAGCUGGAUUUCAGCAUCCCACUUUGCUUCUCUUCCCCUGGAUGUGCUGGAGACACGCUCAGCCCCUCUGUCAGUCCCAAGGACCAUGACACUGCACAAGCUGCAUCGCGGUGCCAUCCCAUGGCCCCAGCUGCCAGCAGCACAUUGUGAUGCCCGAAACAACCAGCCCAGCCUUCCCCCGUGUGCUCACACACCAGCACGGCAUGGCGUGUCCAUCGGUGGAGAUUCGGCCUCAUUAAACCCCUCUGCCACUCGUCUUUUGCAGGCAGGCUUUUUAUCAGGCUUUAAUUAAAAAUGUGCCAGGCUUGGACUCCCCCUCCUACCAUGGUUGUGGCAAAUCUAAGAUCAUCAGACCAGACCCCUGCUUUCCCCAGAGAGCCACAAAAUACAGCUCCACUGUUCCCAGCGUGAUUGGAGCCACAGCAUCCCAUGGCCUGUAAGUUAAUGCAGUCCGCAGGCAUCUGGCUUUAUUGCAGGGACCAUUGCUCGGGAAGGUUUUUAGGGACAAAACUCAGAUCCGGGGCUCAGAUGGCUCCUCACCCAUCUCCGGCGGGGGAGCAUCACCCCGUGGUCUUGCCAUGAGACCAAAUCCCCGCUGCUGGGUUUUGCAGCGGAGAUGCUGCACUGUGAUGUCCUCCCCGAUCCCCCCUGCGAGGCUCAAUUAAAGCAGCACCGCAGAAACUUUGCAGCUUCUGGAGCAGCGAGGGCUGGGAAGGGACCGGGGCUGCAGGUUCGUGGAGGCAGACAUCCCACUGAACUGGACAGACAUCUCACUCAUCCACCGUCCUGCUAACCCAGCUUCCCGGCGAGGAAUUAUACCCGACGUUGGCUUUUCACACCGCUCAGUGACAUUCGUCUCCCUUUGCCACCACUGGUAACCAUCUGGGCUCUGCCCAGCCCAGGAGAAAUUAAUGCUUUUGAGCAACAUUCGAUUUCUGAUCCCGGGCUGUACCUGUGCCAGGCGGAGCCAGGCAAGGAGACAGGGAUGGGAGCGGUGAGAGCUCAAAAGCAGAUUCCCAAUUCCAGGUCACCCAGUGACACCCCAAGUGUCGGUAACGCCACCAGCACCAGCGAAGGUGCUGGAGGCGGGCGCAGGGGACGCAGGGGAGGUGGGUGCUGCUGUUGUCCUGUCGCCUCCCACUUCUUCUUGCAGAAAGUGGGAAAACGCCCGAAGGAGCGGAGACAAGAGGAGAAAAUAGCCCACUGGGGGCAAAGAAGCACCAGGAAUAGAGAGGGGUGACCUCGGCGAGGUGGUUCUGGAGCAGAGCUUGCCGUGGGACAGGAGAUGUGUGGGACCUGGGGCUUGGAGCACUUUUCCUGAUGCUCUGGGAGAGGGCAGGCAGCGCUCUCCCUGUUGCGGACACUGGAUGGGGAGGAACAACAGAAGGCAACGUGAAAAAGGAUCUACAUCACUGCCUCUUUUCUGAGAGAGGGAAAAAAAAUAGAUCUCAUGGUAAUUGGGCACCUCCCUCCCGAUCUGGGGGGAAGGAGGGGAAUCUGAACGUGCCUUUUUUCAGGCUCUGGUGGCUGCUGCUCCUGGCAGAGCCUCCUCUGCUCCCUGCUGCCUCGUUUGGGGACCGGGUCUGGGCACAGGAACCAUGUGGACGGGGGAAGGAGGAGACAGCGACUGAUCACAGCCAGGAUCUUAGAUCAGAGAGAAGGAAUGUUGUUGUGGAGAGGCUGAGCGCUGGGGUGGGAUGACUCAUGCUGGAGAACAUACAGCUGUUGGAGCGGGACUUGGCACCGCGCGCUGAGGCUGCGGAGCCUUCCCCGACAGAGGGAAGGGGAGGAGAGGAGCCCCCGCCCCGCAUCCCUCCCUGACCCCCUGCUGGAGGUGGUGGGGAGGCCGCUGCUGUGUGCUGGAGCUGGGCCACAGCCCGGCUCUGCCCAGCCCCAGCACCGGUCCCACUGCAGAGCCCGGGGCUCAGCCACGAGAACGCACCGGGCACGAAGCAGACAUCCCUCUCCCUUCCCCGUCAGUGGGGAAACUGAGGCACAGAGCGGGGACCUGACGGGUUUCCCACAGGACAGCUGAGGAGGUUAUAAAGGCUCGUGGUGGCUGUUGCUCGCUGCUGUAUCCCUGGGCUGUGGCUGCGCUCGCCUCGCUCCGGGAAGAAAGUUUCAUGGCUGGAAGCAGUCUCUGUAGGAGAAGCCGGACAGUCUUCUGCUCCUGGCUCAGGAGCUGGCAUCUGUGGGGUGCGAGAGCCUCGAUCUGCCUUGUGCCCAGGAACCUGCACAGCCCCUCGCCAGGCGGUGAUGCUGACAGCGGCUUCCCCGACAGGCACAGGAUUGCUGCAGGGAGAAGGGGAAGAGCCUGCUCUCCGCAUCCACCAAAGCCUGCGGACUUGCACUACCAUGGAGGAGAUUUGGGCAAGGCAUCACGAGAACCACCAAGGCAAGGGGAUGAGCCAGUGUCUUCCCAAAGUCCCUCCCAGACGUAUUUUUGGCACACGCCUGGAGAUAGCCAGCGCGCCAGAUUCCCAGCGCGCUGGGACAAAAAACUUCAGAGUCAGCUUCAGAGGUGGCCCCGUUUUGGCGGGGAGGGAAGUGGCUGUAAACACAAACAGGCUCGUGAUUAAUCGUGCUCUGCUCUCGGUGAAUGUGGAGUCAUUAGCUUCAUGUCCCUGGAAAAGUAAUUAUCUCCAGUUUGUCAAUGAGAACUUGGAAAAACCUGAAGCCUCGAGCUCUGGAAAUGCCAUCCGCUUCCACAUACAAGAAAACCUGCAUAUUUUUGUAGGUUAAUAAAAGGUAACCAAAUUUACAAAAUGAAUAGAUUUAAUACAUUACCAAAGCUUUAAGGGUAAAUGACUUAUCUUCCCAGGGAUUUAUAAUCCUGUUUUGCAGACUUUGCCUUAUGCUGUAUUUUAUUCUCACAUCCAGCGGUACUAGCGCAGGAGACAAGGUGGAGCGCACGACAUUCCUGCUCUGAUUUAUGGGCUCCCUCCUCCACUGCCAUGUAAAGCAAUCCUUCCCCGCAUGACCGGGCCCGCGGGUCGCAGAGCUCCAUCCUGCUCACAGUUUCGGGAAUUAUUCCUUCCUCCCAGAUAACCAAACAGAAACCUCUUCCAGUCAAGGGGAAUAUCAGGGCGGUAACUUGGGGCCAAAAGGAGAAGUUUUGUGCAAAUGGAGGGCCACAAAAACACAGCCAUGUGAGCACGCCUGGCCGAAAAUAUUUCUGAAAGAGAACAUUUACAUUCCUGGAGUCCCAGCACAGGGGGGGUGGGGAACCCAGCAGCACCUCAACAUUUCGCUCCCAGCUCCAGCACCACUGCAUCAGCACGAGCUGGGGGAGGAAAUCUGUGCCGGGGCUGUUCCUAAUUGCACCCGGUGCCUGCAGAAGGCAGAACUUGCACUGCACAUCACCACCCUGCAGAAGGAAGCGGGAAGAGGCGAGUGCCAGUGCUCGCUCCUGGUGUGAAUGUAGCCGUGUGCUGCCUGGGGUGGGUCAGCGCCCUGGUUUGGAGCAGCCAGCGAUGCUCAGGAGAGGGGGCUUUGCUCUGGAGGCACGCAUCCGCCUGUCGCUUUGUUUGUUUGCUCACACCAGGGACCAAGGAAGGGAUCCUGAUGGAGGAGAGGAGAGCCUAGAAAGAAUUAUCCCCAAACGCACCAAGUGCCUUCCCAUCCCAAAAGGCUCAGCAGAGCAGCCGGAGGUUUCUCAGAAGUGCCGUCAAACUUCUCAGCACAAACUCAUCAGUGUUUUGGUUUGGCAUUUAGGUUCUGCUCUAAAUUGCCCAGCAUUAGUGCUUGCUAAUGUUGAAGUAACAAAAAUAAAAGCUGAAGUGAAGUGCUUCAGCUAAAGCUGGGAUGGAAUAUUUCACAGAAAUGCAAUAUUCGGAGAUUGCCUUUUCAUUUCGAAAUGAGCCAUAACAGUUCCAGCUCCACACGGCCCUUGUGGGAAGACAAAUCUCAUUUCCAUCCACCUCUUCCUCCUUCCUCAGGCACUGCGGGGGCCGGCCCCGAUCCCCGCAUCGUGGGCAGCUGCUGAAGGCUGAGGACGUGGCAAUGCCCUGGGCGAUGCUGCUGCAGGAGCCCUGGACGUGUCAGCACUCGGGCUGGGCACAGCACGUCAAUGAAGGAUGCUGCCCUCAGCCCCGGCCAUCCCACAGACGUGCCCUGGCUGGGGUGUGCCCAGGAGACCCCAAAAUCAUCCAGUGCAAUGGCCACAGCCUUCUCCUAUAUGUUAUGGCUAGUUAUCGCGGGUAGGUUGAAGUAGGAGGAACCCAAGCCACACCCCAGCACUAACAAUGCGUUUAUCUGCUCCUCGCCCCAUCAGCCACGUCUCAGCAUCUUUCAAGAGUCACUACAUCUAUCCACCCCCCUGCCUCAAAUAACAUCCCAGGGCACAGGCGGGGAGCUGAGGCCCCGGGAACGAGCAGGACUUGGGUAAUUUCACACGGAAAAGGAGCUGAGCUGACCCCGAGGCUCAGACACAAAGCUGUCGUGAUUUGGGAUAUUUGGAUUCAGGCUCAUCCUCAGCAGACUGCACCCCACAGCUCCCUCCCUGUGCUGAGUGAGAAGGCCGAGAGGAAGAGGAGAGGGGACGUUUGCUGGCAUCCUUCCCUGCUGCAAAGGUCGGGCGGUGAGGAUGGAAAUCCGGCACUCCAGCUGCUUCCAGGACGUUAUUUGGGCUCCGGCAUCUCACUGCGCUUGACCUCAGCAGCAGAGGCCGGGCAGGGACAGGGGCUGGUUCCUGUGCAAAGACGGAGCGGAGCAACCCGAGCUAUUAAAGCUAAUGGGUGGGAAGUGGCCAUGAAUAAAUCAGCAGCAACUUAGCAGCUAUCAAAGUCUGAAAUCCUCCAGGACAGAGGGUGAAACAGCAGCGAUUUCAACAUGUUAUACGCUUGGUUUUGGAUAGGGGCUUUCGAAGCUGUUACCUACAAACCCAGAAACCUUGUCCGUGUGCACCCUGGGGGCAGUGGUUGGAGCAGGAUUUGGGGGCUGGAUCCAUGCAGGGGUUUGGUGCUCACCCCAUCCUUCCAGCAUCACAUUUGCCAACCACGGCAGCUUCCAAGCAUGGAGCAGGGAGAGAAGACACGGGGAGGAACCGCCAGCAAAAACCUCCCUUUAAACCGAGACGUCCUUCUACCUCAAACCACCCAGACUGGCCUCGGUAAUCCCAAAUCCUGGGUAUUAGGCAUUUAAUCUUGCAUUUCAUCGUGUCCCCUCAUGCCAGGGGUCUGAAAUUAAAAGGGAAGCAGGGAAGGGCUGAGCUUCUGCCGGCUUAAUCGGUUCUUGCUUGUGGAUGACAAGGAAGGAAGGAGGAGAAGGUGGCGGUUCCUUGUUCCUCGGCGUUCCCAGCAGCGAGAGCUGUCGCAGGAGAGGGGGACGAGCAGCGGCAUCAGGGGAGGGAAGGGAAAAGCCGCCCCCCCGGGCAAGGAGGAAGCGGAGCUGUGGCUCAGCGAGCGGCUGCGUGGAGCCGUGCCAGGGGCCCCGGCCGGAGGCCGAGCUUUUGUUUCCAUGAUGCAAGCUGGGGAGAGGGGCCGAGGCAGGACGGGGAAUGGUUCUGGGCUUUGGUGUCUUUGGUGUCUCUGCCUGCCCUGCAGGAAAGCUGGGGCAGCUCUGCCGGACGGGCUGCGAGCAGGGACGGAUCCUGGAGCAGCCGUGGGAUGAACUGGGGAUGGAGACAGAGCGGGGAAGCAUCCGAGCCCCCUCCCCAGGGCCAGGCAGCCCCUGGUCCCUGUCCCCUCUGCUGAAAACCCCAUGCCCUUGCUUUUUCCCUACACCACUGCACCACAGCCCCCGUGCUGCUGUGCAAUGUCCCACAUACAGCCUGAUGUGAGGGGAUCCCCUGCAGCUUGAGAACAUGGGGACCCCCCCCACCUGGCCCCAGGAAGAGAAAAAUCACAGCUUGGGGCAGUCCCGUGGCACAGGGCAGGGGGUACCGAGUGCUGGGGCAGCACCCAGUUCUGGGUGACAGCAGCACAGUGCCCAGUGCAGGUCCCAGCCCCACUCUGCUGCUGCCCCAUGGGACCCACAUAUUGCCCCUGGGAUGGAAGCCCCUCGAUUCUCCCCUCCUCCCCCCCAGCCUGCUGCCCUGGCUCUGCACCCCUCGGUUUUGCUCCAGCACAGAAGUGCAGAUCCAUCCCCACUGAAGCCCUCUUGCUACUCAGCCCUGGGUUCUCGUGAUGCCCGUCACAAACAGAGCUGCUCUGGCUAAUAAAUGCACUUGUUUAAUUAUUGUUGGCAGAAUGAAGAGCUUUUAAUUGCACUCUCCCACCACAGGGUGUAACGAGGGUCUGUGCUUUGACCUCAGCUGAAAUAUCUGUUAGUAACAGGUACGUGCCCUCGAUACGCUAAUUUCUAAAUAAAACCAGGCAGAUCCACAGCUGAUCACAAGGCAAAGCCUGAUUCUAGAAGCUGCAAUCAAGCUUUUUCCUCCUAUUAGGCUUCAACUUCACCCAUAUUUACCAGGAAAAGGCACAGCUCAGGAGGCUCAGAGUGCGCAGCGGCCGCGCUGCUGGGGAAGGUCCCCGGGAUGCUGCAGAACCUCAGCACUGCCAGCCCGCGGGAGCUCGCUCUGCUGUGUGUCAUUACAGAGAAGAUGGAUUUUGGAAGAGCUGCACGCACUUAAAGAAUAAUGCAACCUGCCAGGCACUUAACACAGCCCAAAUAAAUGGAAGCAACAGCGAGAGCUUACCCAGGUAAAACUGCCAGAGCAAGGGGGCUCUGGGGACAGGAGAGGGUUUGCAGAGAGGAGCUGGAAGAGGCUCCUGGCUCUCGGCAGCCCAGGUGUGCCAGCAGAUGCCCAUUUAUCUUGCAUGCUGGAGAAAUAAUGGAAAUGGUGGAAAUUCAGAAUUUAGCAAGGCCACGGUUUGGGUACAGACAUGUAACAGACACACAAGAAGAGGACGUCCUGCUGCUCCCUGCCCCACGCUGAGCACUGGGAGAUGGGGCAAAAAAAGGAGGAAUCAAGAAAGUUUCGUGGAAUGACAUCAGCUACACACACAUCGCACAAACCUCCCCAAAACAGCAGCUCUGCAGCAUCCCAGGGAGAAGGUGCCCACACACAGGAAUGAUGAACAUUUUGCAGCUUAAACCUAUUGUGAGAAUGAGGCUCUGCCUGCUCCCCGCGAGCCACGCCAAGGCACGCUGCUCCACAUGGCAAUCAUUACUGCGUGCGGCAACGGCGCAGCGUGCACCGUGCACACACACAUGCACACACACUCAGCCAUGCAUGCAGGAGCAAGCAAGCAGCUCACAACAUUCCUGCAGCGAGCAUCCGCACGGAGCUCUCCCAGCCCAAUGCGAACGUAGUCUCGCAGCAGCCCGUACUAAAGCACUGGAACAGCCAAAAUUUUCAAGAAUUGUGGCACUUUCCUAGCCCCCCGUCCCUCCUGAGCUCCCGGAGAUGCACUGGGGCCUCAUUCUGCCGCCCCAUGCAGAGCAGCAUCUCUGCUCACUCUGGGUGCAGCGGCGGUGCCGCCAGGCAGCGCUUGCCGGCAGGGUUUGUGCUCUACCAGCGCAGCCAGGAACGCUGUUUGCAAUUAAAGCAGCCCCGCCGUUUCCAUCGUGAGGCCUCGCUCUCAUUGCUGGACCUCAGCGAGCUUCAAAGCCCUUGGCUGGGUUUUCUGGUGCCAGGCGAGUUUUCCCCUUUGUGGGAAAACGCGGCAGCAGUGAGGGGCUGGAUGUGUGCACAGACAUUCAGGAGGUGGAAUAGCACCAGCUACCACAUUUCGCCAACAUUUACCCCAAAAACACCAAGCUUCGUGCGAUCCACACAUGCACACACACACGGACAGCUCUAACCCGGCACACUCGGAGUCCCGAGGUGGUGGCAGCCAAACAGCCUUCGGCAUAAAGGCACCAACAACCGUGACAAAUGCUGGCAGUAAUCCCUCUGGAGAGGAUUACACCGUGCGGAUUUCGGGAAUGGAGAUGUUUUAUGGCCACCUGAACACCGGGCAGGGGGGAGAGGCCCCAGCAGGGCCCCAGACGGACUGAGAAACCCAUCGGGAACAACCAGAAACCUGGGGGGUUUCAUGGGAGCAAAAGGGAUAACUUUAACCUCAGCAACCUGACACUGCUUCCCCCCAGGCAAGUUUUCAAUUAAGAACUGGCUAACGGAAAAUCCUGUGAUAAUUAUGUCAGCGUUGUGGUGGUACGGAAAACACUGUAAUGAGAUUAGGUACGCGCUGGGAUGCUCCGCAGCAGCACGGCCACGAGCACGGCUCGCCCUGCCCCUCUGCACCCCUGAGAAGUAUUUUGGGGCUCAGGAGCCCUCCCGAAAUGCCCUCAUGGGGUGGGUGAGCAUGACGGCUUUUCCCCACUUUAAGCCAGGGCUGGAGGGAAUUAAACGCAGGUCUCUGGCCGCAGCCCCCGGAGGUGGCUUUCUCCAGACCUCCAAUCGUUUUCAGCUUCGUGAUCUCCAUCGGUGAUUUUUCCUGGAGAUAUUUAUGGCUCUUUCUGUGUUGAUUUCCAUGUCCCACUGAAUAUUGCAUGUGCUAUCGCUCCCCAAGGACCGAUAGUCUGAAGAAAGCAGCUUCUUCGCAGGCUUUUCUGGAGCUGCUAAAUGGCACCUCUUCCCUUCCCCAGCAUGAUUAUAUCUGCACAUUUACCACUGAUUAUAUUUGCAGGCACAUUUGAGUGUGAUUAUUAGCUGAAACCUGUCAAGGAGUCAAUCUGAGUGGUAAGAGCAUCUCUGAGGGCUGCAGAGGAAAAACAAAAGCAGCAUCCUCCUGCUGAUGGGGGCACGUGCCCAGGGCCCGCAGGGUGCAUCCACCCCAGUUGCUCGAGCCCUUUGUCCCCAUCCUCCAUGAGCAGGGGAGAUCUCGACCAGACACAAGCAGCUGGAAGCAAGGAUGAGAAGCUAAAAAGAGGGCAAAAAAGUCAAGAAAUGGGGAGCAGAGGCAAUACGUGGGCCCAAAGGGAAGGUGGGAAAACAGUGAGAGCAAUUCCUGGGAAGAGAUGCUCCAGUACAAGAGGGAAAUCCAGCUCUAAGAGUGCUGCUUUCCUCAAUGUGCUGCUUCAUCUUACAAAGCGAUAUGAAAUUUGGGAUGAUUUUCUGCUGAAGAAAUAAAUGAAUAGGCUCAUGAACGCUGGAUUUCUCCCAAGGCAGCAGUGCAAGCUCUUCUGGCAUCUAAACGCUGCAAAAUGGGCUCCCUCCCACCCCUGAGUGGUCCAGGGGGAAUGGACCUUCUGAUUAGCAAAGAUUUCUGACACCACAUUAAGCAGAAAACUUGGAUCAGGUCCCCCCAUGGCUGUGCUGAGAUGAAAAACAAGGAAAAAAAAAAAGGAGGUGCCAUGCGGGAGAGGAACUCACUCACCCUGCUAACAGGCGCUGGAGCAAUUACACACCCGGCUCUAAUAGGCAUGAAAAUAAUUAACACUCUGCCGAAGGCUCAAGUAGUGAUUUUAUGAGUCCUGCUGAACCUGAGCUCCCAGCGGGGUAUUAGUGUAGGGUUUUAUUUUUUUUUUUCAUUCUUUUGGGACUGUUUUAUGACCUCACGUGCAGCUGUUGGUUUUUGGCAUCUCUCGAUGUAGGCUGAGCAGCAGCGGGCGAGAUGGCGAGGAAACAGCUCCAGGACGGCCCCGGUCCCUUCAGCCGCUGAAUUUCCCAUCCGAUGGUUCCCUAAAUUCAGCCAGAACCUGCUCAACAUUGCACGGAGCCUUUCCGGGUUAAUUACACUCUGAGGUCCUGCACAGCCAGGCCUAAAGAAGGAGGAGAUGGGAGAAAAACGCUGCCGUGUUAUUAUGGUGACACAUGAAGUGCUGCUGAAAGCAUCCCGUGUAUCUUGCCAGGGGGAUUCACCGCAUCCAAAAAGCACGCAGAGAUCCUCUGGGAUCCCCGAGAGUUAAGGGGGAAGUCAGCUCUUCCACAGGUCUUACCCCAAGAUGGCUGUGUAAGAGAAGAGGGCAUCACCCAUUUCCAGUGAUGCUCUUUUUUUCCUCCUUGGCUGGUGCAGGAGCUGAGAUGCCCAAGACAAAAUGUUUGGCUUCGGGAGGGCUGGUGCUGGUUGAAACGGAUCGUACUCCUGACAUCGCCCUGCACCUCUCUGGGCCACUCUGGAUCACAUAAAACCCACCCCGUUUGUUUCCUUGUCUUUUGUGAACCGGGGAGACGGGAUGAAGGCAGACAGGCUCAGGCUGUUGCUCUCGUCCUUCUUUGCCUGGAGCAGAGCAGCCGAUGCCCCCCAUUGCAGCCAAGGCAGCCGGGUCUCACCUGCACCCAUCCGGAUGAUGCUCAGCACCCCUGAGGAGCCUCCCACAAGGUGACCGGAUCGGUGUGUCCCCAGCGCACCAAGAGCCCUGCUCGAGGGCGACCGGCAGCCAUCUCUGAGAUGUUUUCCAUUUCCACUCCUGCUCCUCCUCUUGGAACUGGGCAGGAGCACCUCAAGAUGUCCCAAAGUGUUUUGGCUGCUGCCCGGGAGAAGAACAGUGCAGAGGGGGUAACGGGAGGUAAAACUGUCCAUUAUUCACGGAGCAUCUGUGCCACAGCAGGCCUUACCCCACGGGAUCAACAGAAGGCUUUGUUUUCCUUAUCCCUUCCAGUAAUUCAUCAAUUUUACUGCUCAACAAAGCCCCCUCUUUGAAGGGAGGUCUCCUACUUUAAAUCCUGUUUCGGCGGAAGCAGUGGAUGAUCCUAACCAGACGUGUCUGCUGAAAGGGCUGCAGACGCUACCGCGCUGGCUGGAGCCUCUGGAAGAUCAAAGGAGAACUCCCUCCGCUGCAUCGCGCUCCCUGCAAAGACCGGUAACCACCUUCCACCAGCCAGAAGGACUUAAACACGUCCACCCAGCUCUUCCCAUUGCUGAGGCUCGUGCAGAAGCAUCGCGUCCACCUCGCCUGGGUGCUGGAGAGCUCCAAGGGCGGGUGGGUGGCAGUGUCUGCAGAAGCCCCAGCUUCUCACCGCAGGCUCUGCGAUGACCACAGCACCUCCCGCUUGGUGGAGGUGGGCUUUUUAGCACAUUAACAUAUUUCAGGAUAUCGGCACACUACAAUCCUCCUGGUUAUCGCUACAAGCCCUUCUCAGAUGCACGUGGUCCUUUCCUUACAGCUUUGGGGCCAAACCCCCCGUUUUUCUCCCACCACAAAGCCGACUCCGUGGCUCCGCGGCCAGCAGCUCUACAUUCGAGUUUACAAAGAUUUUCCAUUUGUGGUGGAUGUGGAGCUAGGCUGCCAGCUGGAAACACGAUGGCAAGGCAAAACGGUGCUAUCUGCUGCAUCACUCUGGAUGUUUAAUGUAAUUUGAUUGUAAGUAGAUGUAAACAAGCACUGGCUUUAGGGCAGGAGGAAAGCUUCAGCUGCUCUGCUGCGGAGAUAACUCCGUGCAAGAUUU